This 374-nucleotide ribosomal RNA is filed under the name uncultured organism. RNAcentral describes it as "bacterial SSU rRNA". It matches the Rfam family "Bacterial small subunit ribosomal RNA", at positions 526 to 896 of the family's 1533-position model. The record is from RNAcentral.
CGUAGGAGACAAACGUUAUCCGGAGUUACUGGGCGUAAAGGGCGUGUAGGUGGUUACGUAAGUCUGGCGUGAAAUUUUUCGGCUUAACCGGGAAAGGUCGUCGGAUACUGCGGGACUAGAGGACGGUAGAGGCGUGUGGAAUUCCGGGUGUAGUGGUGAAAUGCGUAGAGAUCCGGAGGAACACCAGUGGCGAAGGCGACACGCUGGGCCGUACCUGACACUGAUGCGCGACAGCAUGGGGAGCAAACAGGAUUAGAAACCCUGGUAGUCCAUGCCGUAAACGAUGCUAGCUGGGUGUUCAGGAAGGGAAACCUUUCGGGGUACCGAAGUCAACACGGUAAGCUAGCCGCCUGGGGAGUACGGUCGCAAGAUUA